CUUUCCCCAGAUUAUUCCUCCAAACUUCCUAUCAACUUCCAAGUCAAUUUGUUCCCCAAAGUCAACUCUUUAUGUAUAUAUAAUUUGAAUUAUUUAACAAUUGAACAAUAUUUUUUUAGCCAUAAAUGUUGGUUUACCCAGUCAAAUUAUUCGUACCUGCAAAGACUAUCUAGAACAAUAAAUCGAGCACGCAUUUGAAUCCGUCUUGUAGAAGGAAGCUUCCUUCUGGCCUAAGGUUAUAACCAGGAAAUUUCUAUUUUAUUUAAAAAGUUGAACGUCCAACAUAAAUAAGAGUUGAACUCAGGCAAGAAGUUGUAUGUACGAGUACUUUUAUUGCGUGUUUGUGUGUGUUUAAUUGAGAAAGAGAUGGCCGAAAAUAAGCUCUAUGAUGCAGCAGUGAAAGGGGAUGUAAAAUCUUUGCUCGAUUUACUCAAAGAAGAUCCGUUGAUUCUUGCUAGAGUUUCGUUUACAUGUUCCGACAAGACUCCUUUACACAUAGCAACAAUAUUCCAACACACGGCCUUUGUCCAAGAAAUUC
RNAcentral lists this long non-coding RNA (538 nucleotides) under Olea europaea (common olive). RNAcentral's name for it is "long non-coding RNA (OEUR_LNC011276)". The record is from RNAcentral. Lineage: Eukaryota; Viridiplantae; Streptophyta; Magnoliopsida; Lamiales; Oleaceae.